GCUGUACAGCACUAACCAUCUGACAUGACAGGAGCAUGCCAGUAGCAGGCAGCUCCAGGCAUCUCCCCUGGCUCCAGCGCUCUCUGCCAUGACCCCCAGGAGCCCUCCAUCCUGCUCCGCAUGGCCUCAUCCCUCCCAGCUCGGCCUGGGAAGGAUGCUCAGCGAUGGCUGGAGCAGCUGGCCAGAUCUUGCUUUUAUUGCAGACCCAGCACUGGAAACUGGAGAAACUGGACAUCCUCACCCCUUUUCUCACCUUCUUGGGGACCAUCCUGUGGAACUCUAGCUGCUGUGUGUCAGCCAGCUGAAGGCCAAGCUGGACGGCCAGUAGCAUCCCAGUGGAUGGACGGUGAAGCCCCUAUGCAUCUGGUUGGACCUCAUCUUGACCUUCUGGCCAGGGCAUCCUGUGGUGAUGGGCCCCAGACACAUAUUCCCUAUGAGGUAGGUGAAAAGGCUGUUGUUUACCCUUCUUUCUCCUUUUUUGUUCCCCCAUCAACUCCCUGCCUCAGUUUCCCCUUCUGGGCAUGGUGCCGGCCCCCAGGCAGCUUGGGGGCUGGGUUGGAGGAGAGUCAGGCUUGAGGCUCUCCAGCCAGCAGGAUUUGAGCCAAAGAUGCCAGUCAAAGCACAGCUCCAGAGUGGGGCUCCCUGCUUUGUCUCCUGGCAGGUUGUACUACAGGCAGGGCUGUUGUAUGGGAGAAGAUAGAGCUGAUGCAGUGUAACAGCAUAAAAACCAGCUGGGGAAAGAGGCUUGCUCUAGAGCUGUUGUGGGUGGAGAGUCUGCACUCUCCCGGGUGAGUAUAGGAUGAGGGCUGUCCUGCCAAGUGCCGGUUGGAGUGGAACCGGGAGAGGGACCAGGAUGAGGACCAGGGCUUGGAUGGGGAUGAUUAGGGCAGCCGGGGCAGCAGUUGGUGGCAAUGCUGGGGAGGCUGGAACGAGGACGGUCCCCCAGAAGCAGGACCAUCUGCUUUGCUGUGGAGCUGGGCCAGGUGAGCCAAGACGCUCAAAAUGCCCUGUGGGGUGAUAACGCAAGACUAGGGGCUUUGGAAAAAUGAGGGAAUUCAUUUAAAAAAAUAAAAAACCCUGAAUUGCCUCCA
This 1091-nucleotide long non-coding RNA is filed under the name Struthio camelus australis. RNAcentral's name for it is "lncRNA (ENSSCUG00000002867.1)". The record is from RNAcentral. Lineage: Eukaryota; Metazoa; Chordata; Aves; Struthioniformes; Struthionidae.